GAUGAAGAACGCAGCGAAAUGCGAUAAGUAAUGUGAAUUGCAGAAUUCAGUGAAUCAUCGAAUCUUUGAACGCACCUUGCACCCUUUGGCAUUCUGAAGGGUAUGCUCGUUUGAGUGUCAUUGUACUCUCACACUCCCGAUCUUUGCAUUGGGAGCAGUGGACUUGGGUUUGCUGCUUCACCGUCGCUUACCUCAAAUAGGUUAGUGCAACUCUUGGUUGGACAUAGUACGGCGUGAUAAGUGUUCUUCGCCGGUGCCUCGCAAAGAGGGUGGCCGAUCGGGAUGUUGUGCUCCAAACCGUCUUCGGACAAUCUCUGACGACUUGACCUCAUAUCGAGUAAGACUACCCGCUGAACUUAAGCAUAUCAAUAAGCGGAGGA
Molecule: unclassified non-coding RNA, 380 nt
Filed under: soil metagenome
Description: partial contains 5.8S ribosomal RNA, internal transcribed spacer 2, and large subunit ribosomal RNA
Rfam family: 5.8S ribosomal RNA (bases 1-120)
Source: RNAcentral